AGAGUUGAGCAAGACUUGAAAAGUACCGUGAGUUUGUUGAUAUCCUUUAUUGAAAACAGAUUGACCCGUCUUCAAUUUGAUCGAUUAUUAACGUUUACAAAUACCUACAGUUGUAUUACAAAAGUACUUUGAAAUGUUUUGGCAAAGUUUAGAGGAUAAUUUUUUUAGAUAUUUUGUCGUGACUGUGCAAAUUGGACGAUGCUUUUUCUGGUACAACGGCGCCAAAUAAAUGGACAAUUUGGAUAUAUAUGGACGGAAUUAAUCGAACAAAAGGACCAUUUGUGAUGUUUAUGGGACAUAUUGGAGUGCCAACAAAAGAAUCUCGUCAAAGAGAGCUGUGAAAGCCUGUCUGCAGAUGAGGUCACAAUGAAGAGCAGUGGUUCUCAGUCCUGCUCCUGGGGACUCAAAGGGAUACCUUGCAAUUGGAGAUUCCUUCAAAACGAU
Molecule: long non-coding RNA, 444 nt
Organism: Salvelinus namaycush (lake trout)
Lineage: Eukaryota; Metazoa; Chordata; Actinopteri; Salmoniformes; Salmonidae
Exons: 3
Source: RefSeq, a predicted model, not a curated record